RNAcentral lists this ribosomal RNA (169 nucleotides) under Enneapterygius sp. OCF-P3360. RNAcentral describes it as "partial 12S rRNA". The record is from RNAcentral. Lineage: Eukaryota; Metazoa; Chordata; Actinopteri; Blenniiformes; Tripterygiidae.
CACCGCGGUUAUACGAGAGGCCCAAGUUGAUAGUAUUCGGCGUAAAGAGUGGUUAAACCAGACUUGAACUAAAGCCGAACCCCCCCCAGAACUGUUAUACGCAUCCGAGGGUAAGAAGCCCCCCUACGAAAGUAGCUUUAAUAAUUUUGACCCCACGAAAGCUGUGAAA